Molecule: ribosomal RNA, 445 nt
Filed under: Burkholderia sp. oral taxon C87
Lineage: Bacteria; Pseudomonadati; Pseudomonadota; Betaproteobacteria; Burkholderiales; Burkholderiaceae
Description: bacterial SSU rRNA
Rfam family: Bacterial small subunit ribosomal RNA
Source: RNAcentral
AUUGAACGCUGGCGGCAUGCCUUACACAUGCAAGUCGAACGGCAGCACGGGGGCAACCCUGGUGGCGAGUGGCGAACGGGUGAGUAAUACAUCGGAACGUGUCCUGUAGUGGGGGAUAGCCCGGCGAAAGCCGGAUUAAUACCGCAUACGCUCUACGGAGGAAAGGGGGGGAUCUUAGGACCUCCCGCUACAGGGGCGGCCGAUGGCAGAUUAGCUAGUUGGUGGGGUAAAGGCCUACCAAGGCGACGAUCUGUAGCUGGUCUGAGAGGACGACCAGCCACACUGGGACUGAGACACGGCCCAGACUCCUACGGGAGGCAGCAGUGGGGAAUUUUGGACAAUGGGCGAAAGCCUGAUCCAGCAAUGCCGCGUGUGUGAAGAAGGCCUUCGGGUUGUAAAAGCACUUUUGUCCCGGAAAAGAAAAACGCCGUGGUUAAUAACCCCU